GACGUAGGGCGCGAGCGUUGUCCGGAUUUAUUGGGCGUAAAGAGCUCGUAGGCGGCUUGUCGCGUCGUCCGUGAAAACCUGCGGCUCAACUGCAGGCUGGCGGUCGAUACGGGCAGGCUGGAGUUCGGUAGGGGAGACUGGAAUUCCUGGUGUAGCGGUGAAAUGCGCAGAUAUCAGGAGGAACGACCGGUGGCGAAGGCGGGUCUCUGGGCCGAUACUGACGCUGAGGAGCGAAAGCGUGGGGAGCGAACAGG
RNAcentral lists this ribosomal RNA (254 nucleotides) under uncultured bacterium. Its description in RNAcentral is "partial 16S ribosomal RNA". It matches the Rfam family "Bacterial small subunit ribosomal RNA", at positions 524 to 776 of the family's 1533-position model. The record is from RNAcentral.